UUACCUUAUUUAUCACUAAAAUCUCUCAACAGCGUCGUGAUUUUCUAUAUCUUAUUCCAUUCUCCAUGGCUCCUGAAAUUCGUUCAUCAUCUCUCUCACAAAAUUGAAUCUCCAAACCAUCACUGCAUGUGAAGUAUUCCUCACCUUAAGCAUCAGUUAUGUCAAAAAUUCAGUGGAUUCAAAGGACUGGUCAUCCUUUGUUGAUGCAAAGCUCCAAGCUAUUUGUGAAAACUUGGCUAAUUCGUCGAGGCAAGGAAAGAAUUCAGCAAAGGUCCGUUCUGUUUCUGAUCCAAAGACUGAAAAUUUGAGACGAGUUGGGGAUGAGAUGACAAAAAUGUGUUGUUUCGAAUGAUGUGUUAACUGAAGGAUUUGGGUAUGAUAAUAUCUUGGUCGAGGCCUCCUUAUCAGGCGUUUUUCCG
RNAcentral lists this long non-coding RNA (419 nucleotides) under Olea europaea (common olive). Its description in RNAcentral is "long non-coding RNA (OEUR_LNC004543)". The record is from RNAcentral. Lineage: Eukaryota; Viridiplantae; Streptophyta; Magnoliopsida; Lamiales; Oleaceae.